This 381-nucleotide ribosomal RNA is filed under the name Triticum aestivum (bread wheat). Its description in RNAcentral is "partial small subunit ribosomal RNA". The record is from RNAcentral. Lineage: Eukaryota; Viridiplantae; Streptophyta; Magnoliopsida; Poales; Poaceae.
AUGGUUCCAGAUUGGGCACUGGUCGCCGUCGUGCGAGAGCAGGGCAGCGGGGUCUUCGCGGAGGAGUGGAGGGGGAGGAUGCGGACGACAGGGCGAAGGAGGUGGCUGGCGAGGAGGACAAGCAGCAGGGGGGAGGAGAAGGGUGACGCCUCGCACACCGUCUCCUCCCCGCGGCGGUUGGCCGGUCGACUCGUCGCGCCACCGCGUCCUCACCUCCUCUGCGCCAUGAGAGGCGCCGCCUCUGCUUCCACCCCCGCUUCCUGCUUCCUUCCUCCUUGGCACCACAGCUGCCGCUCUACUCCCUCCCUUGUCAGCCACCGGCUCACGAACCUCCCUCGUUUGGGCCAGGGCAGAAGGCCAUGGCGAAUCUUGCGCCUCUAG